UCCUUGGUAGCUUAAUUGGUAAAGCGGUAGGCUGUUAACCUAUAGAUUAGGGGUUCGAGUCCCCUCCAAGGAU
RNAcentral lists this transfer RNA (73 nucleotides) under Pharyngomonas kirbyi. Its description in RNAcentral is "tRNA-Asn". It matches the Rfam family "tRNA". From Rfam's summary of the family: Transfer RNA (tRNA) molecules are approximately 80 nucleotides in length. Lineage: Eukaryota; Heterolobosea; Pharyngomonadea; Pharyngomonadida; Pharyngomonadidae. The record is from RNAcentral.